UGAGCAAUCUGCCCUUCUCAUCGGAAUAACCAUUGGAAACGAUGGCUAAUACCGAAUAUGACUUCGGAUCGCAUGAUCUGAAGUGGAAAGCUCCGGCGGUGAAGGAUGAGCUCGCGGCCUAUCAGCUUGUUGGUGAGGUAAUAGCUCACCAAGGCGAUGACGGGUAGCCGGCCUGAGAGGGUGACCGGCCACACUGGGACUGAGACACCGGCAGA
RNAcentral lists this ribosomal RNA (215 nucleotides) under uncultured bacterium. RNAcentral's name for it is "partial 16S ribosomal RNA". It matches the Rfam family "Bacterial small subunit ribosomal RNA", at positions 118 to 335 of the family's 1533-position model. The record is from RNAcentral.